GACGAACGCUGGCGGCGUGCUUAACACAUGCAAGUCGAACGGAAAGGCCCUGCUUUUGUGGGGUGCUCGAGUGGCGAACGGGUGAGUAACACGUGAGUAACCUGCCCUUGACUUUGGGAUAACUUCAGGAAACUGGGGCUAAUACCGGAUAGGAGCUCCUGCUGCAUGGUGGGGGUUGGAAAGUUUCGGCGGUUGGGGAUGGACUCGCGGCUUAUCAGCUUGUUGGUGGGGUAGUGGCUUACCAAGGCUUUGACGGGUAGCCGGCCUGAGAGGGUGACCGGCCACAUUGGGACUGAGAUACGGCCCAGACUCCUACGGGAGGCAGCAGUGGGGAAUAAUGCACCAUGGGCGGAAGCCUGAUGCAGCAACGCCGCGUGCGGGAUGACGGCCUUCGGGUUGUAAACCGCUUUCGCCUGUGACGAAGCGUGAGUGACGGUAAUGGGUAAAGAAGCACCGGCUAACUACGUG
RNAcentral lists this ribosomal RNA (468 nucleotides) under uncultured bacterium. Its description in RNAcentral is "partial 16S ribosomal RNA". It matches the Rfam family "Bacterial small subunit ribosomal RNA", at positions 28 to 507 of the family's 1533-position model. The record is from RNAcentral.